Molecule: long non-coding RNA, 3293 nt
Filed under: Mus musculus (house mouse)
Lineage: Eukaryota; Metazoa; Chordata; Mammalia; Rodentia; Muridae
Description: predicted gene, 20098
Source: RNAcentral
AGGCAGAUUGGCAACUGCCACUGCCCUGCAGCUAAACAGCUACUUUGAGAUACUUCCUUGAAGAAAAGCUUGCCUGGGGGUUGCAGUGUCUCACCUGCAGAAGACUCAACACCUGAUCUUAUCCAGAAGGAAUGAAAACAUCUAUUAAGAAAACUUGUACAUGUCUAUAGCAUCCUCGUCAUGGGCUGGGAUGCCCAUGAAUAGAAAGUGGACACACAUUCGGUUACCUGUAUAGUGGAAUCUAACCUGCGCUGGAGAACUACCCUCAAAGUACAGGGUUAAAAAGACUUUCCACAAGGGAGUCUUCUACAUGUUUUCUUUUGUACCAGCUUCUAGAGUUGACAGAAACUUACCCACGAUGAAGCAAACUGCAGGCAUCUGCAGUGGUCUUCACAUUCAGCUGGUGGCCCCCACUCAUAUGCUGUCAUCUCAAUUCCCUGUGACAACACUUGAUGGAGACCAGCCACUAGAGAAUAGUCAAGAGGACAGAGAUCUCCUCUUUGAGAUAAGGUGAUGUGUGAAGAUGCAGCCAUUGUAUACUACGGAUAUCGAGCAAAACUCCUCACUUUGGCGAAGUUUAGAGAAGAAGCAGUCCCUAGCAACGGUUCCGCUUGAACUUUCAUCCAGGACCACGGAGCUCAGCCCACCACUUUCCUGGCAUUGACUCUUGACAUCCAUCUUGGAAGGGAAACAUCCUAAAACCUAGUAUCCUGAGUUAAUGCCACUUCACUGCUGUGCCUGAAAUCUCUGCCCUCGCUUCUGAAGGGCAGUUUCCUUCUGCUUUCUGGGCGAGGGAAGAAGCAAUUGCCUCGCUCUGCUGAGCUGUUCUCAGACCAGCAUUCCCUUCCUUCCUCUUUUCCUGCGUCAUUCCAGCUUCUCCACAUGACCACUGCUCUCAGAUCUCUUCCAGACACAUCAGAUCUUUCGUCAGGGUUGCCCUUGACAUCUUCCUAAGAACUUGGCCUGCCAGGCAUGUUUUACUUUUUCUCCACAGUGACAUUUUCAUCGCCACCCACUCCAAAAUCCAAAUGGCUUGCUUACUUGUCCCUGGCAGCUCGUCAUUGGUCUAGGACUUCCCACAGUGGUGCGCUGCAGGCCACUCUUCUCCAAGCUUACUCCUAAGGCUCAUUCUCCCUGAUCCCUGUUCUCCUGCUUAGGGGUGGGGUUCUAGUUCUGAUUUCUGCCCUCUGUUCUCUCUCUUCUGCUCUUAUUGCUCACCUUCUUUUUCCUUCUGCUCUACAAAUGUUUAACACUUCUGCGACUUUCCUUGCUCCUUCCACAUCUGCACAAGAAAAGGAGGCUCAGGUUAGGACAAAAAUCAACUCAGGUGGCAUCUCAGCACAGCUCAACGGUUCUAUCAACUGCCACUUUAACUCUUUCAUUGCCGCUUUCCCCCCUUGUUUCAGCUGAUCGUCUAGUGUCAUCAGGAAUAUCAAUGACAUAAGAACACUGUCAUUUUCUUCAGGGUCACAUUUAGUGACUCUAGUCUGUUUUUGAGGAUUACCAUCUUCUUUCUUUCUUUUAAAUAUAAGCAUAUAGUUAUAUGAUAUACAUUAACUUAAGUGUGUGUGUGUAUGUGUAUGUGUGUGUGUGUGUGUGUGUGAUGUGUGCCUGAGUAUAUGUAUUUAUGUAUACCGCAUGUAUGGAAGUCUCAAUAGAGGCUGGAAGAAGGCAUUAGAUUCCCUUGAACUAGAGUUAUAGGUAGUUGUGAGCAGCCUGAUGUGUGUGUUGGGAACCACAUCUAGGUCUGAAAUGCUCUUAAUCACUGAGCCAUCACUCCAGCCCCUACUUCUUUCUUAUUAUUAACAGGAAAGAUAAAUGUGUCCCUUUUAUCCAGCCACCUAGUCCAGCACCUUGAAUUCUUCUCCAUGCAAAUAAGGCAUCUCAAUAGCUUUAGCCUUCAGCCAAAGUGACAUUUUCCUUCCCUGGAUAUUCUCACACCCUUCCCCACUUGAAUCACCCUCAAGAAAACAUGCAUUAAAACCUACACCAAAUAAAGACAUACAAACAAGCUAAGAUAAUCUCAGAGAACUGCUUCAUUAAAGAUUGGCUGAGCCACAGCACUACGAUUCUUGGCGCAGCACUCCCCACCCCUACUGCAGACCCACCUGUUCCAGAUUUUGCCCUGUCCUUUCCAAGCAGGUGGCUUCCAGACACGCAGAGAGGAGAGGCAGAACCCGGAGCCACGCCCCUUCUCCAUUCAGAUCUCCCCAUCUAUACGGACUCUCACAUUAUCCACCUUUAUUUUUCCUAAACCUUCAUUACCAUAAUUCAACAGUAUCUGUAUCAUUUCCCACCGGGCACAUCCUUGAGGCUGUAGCCCUUCCUGCUAUGGCCCUCUCACCCAUGAGCAUUCAGAAGCCUGUUUCUCCGUGCAUGGUCAGUACAUACCACUUUCCAGUUUCGCUGCCUUUGACCUUUGACAGGUUCUGAAAUGCUCUCUGUUCCUGCUACUUCAUUGCAACUGUUUUGCCAAGACUGCCCACUUCCUGGUACUAAUUUCAAAGAUCGAUUUUUCUGUUCUCUUGUAGCAUCUAAGAACACAUUUUUAAACUGGAACCAUGAUUCUUUAGAAUUGAAUCUCUGAAGAGGGAGGACGGGCAUGGCUGUAUGUGCAGACUCUUAUCUCUAGCCCCAACAAGUGUAUUUCCUUUAGUGACAAUACCUGCCUUCCCUGUAGCUAUAGCCCAACACAGGGCCUCUGUGGGGGCAUUUCUUUAACUCAUAAUUCAAGUAAAGACUAAUCUCUCAGUAUUCCUAGUUUAUAUAUAGACUGAAGUUCUUCUUUAAGAUACAUCAGCAUAGUGGAAAUAUGUAAACAACUUUAGCCAAAAGCCUAAGAAAACAAAAGAAGAUAACUCUAAGGAGGUAGGUAGGGUCACUCGUCAGUAGCCUAGAGAUUCCAAUAGGUUGAUUAUUAAAAGAUGGCUCAUAGUCUCAUUGCUGAGAUCUCCUUUGGUGCCCACUAAACAUAAGUCCUUUCAUUUAUUCUUUGUCCUUAUAUAAUUUUAGUUUUUUAAAUUUUAACUUUUUUCUUAUUUCGGUUUUUUUUUGUUUUGUUUUUGUUUUUGUUUUGUUUGUUUUUUGUUUUUGAGAUAGGGUCUACAUAGCCCAAGCUGUCCUGGAACUCACUGUAUAGACCAGGCUGACCUUAAACUCAUAGAGAUCUACUUACCUUUCCUUUCCUUUAUUCUUAAGGAUGAACAACAUGCUAUUUCAUAAAGUUUCAUUUUUACAUGUAAUUAAGAUCUAGGUACAAAUAACUUAUUGAGCAAUAGAACUUUAGAUAAUUC